Trametes polyzona is the source of this 96-nucleotide non-coding RNA. The record is from the annotation of a GenBank genome assembly. Lineage: Eukaryota; Fungi; Basidiomycota; Agaricomycetes; Polyporales; Polyporaceae.
UGCCCCGUGGCUGAGUUGGUUACAGCGUCCGACUGUUAUUCCCUUGUGAGAGGGUUCGCUAUCGGAAGGUCGUGAGUUCGAGCCUCACCGGGGCAG